UGUGAGAAUGUAGUUCAAACUUUGACCUGUGGAGGGCAGUAAUACGCUUAGCAGCGUCUACUCUGCUGGAAUCCUACAAAAAGAAGAAGAACACUAAGAAGAACCAGAAGAACACCGAGAAAAACAAGAAUUACAGUCAGGUUACAAAACCAAAGCUGAGCUUCAAAAACACUUUAAACAGUCCGGGCUUGGGCUACUGUUGCGUCGCGGCGAAUGGGGUUUGAUAAGUUCUGCAGUCUGGACAGUUCCGAUCCAUUUUGGGAUUGGAACCGUACAUGGCACACUGCUAACCCCGACCUCACCCAGUGCUUCCAGAACACUGUCCUGGUGUGGCUGCCAUGCCUCUACCUCUGGAUGUGUGCUCCCAUCUACCUCAUCUACCUCCGCAGCCACGACCAUGGCUACAUAUGUAUGAGUCACCUCAACAAAGCUAAAACUGCUGUUGGCCUUCUGCUGUGGAUUAUCUGCUGGUCAGAUGUUUUCUAUUCUUUCUGGGAAAGAAGUCAUGGCACCAGUGUCCCCGCACUCGUCCACCACGUCAGUCCUACCUUACUGGGCCUCACCAUGUUGCUGGCCACCCUGGUAAUCCAGUAUGAACGGAUGAAAGGGGUUCAGUCAUCUGGAGUCAUGCUGAUGUACUGGCUGCUGGCACUGCUGUGUGCCACAGUCGCCUUCAGGUCCAAGAUCUUCCAGGCCCUGGACCAGCCGUUGACGGUAAACGUGUGGAGGUACACCACCUUCUAUAUCUUCUAUGCUCUGCUGCUGGUUUCACUGUUCCUGUCCAGCCUGACGGACCAGCCCCCCCUCUUCUCCCAGGCCAUCAAAGACUUGAAUCCCUGCCCUGAGCCUGGAGCUUCUUUCCUCUCUAGAAUAACCUUCUGGUGGAUCACCAGGAUGAUGGUGACAGGCUACAAACGCCCACUGGAGGACAAGGACCUGUGGUCUUUGAACUCGGAGGACCGCUCCCAGAGAGUGGUUCCUCAGCUGGUGCGCCGCUGGAACACAGAGUGCCAAAAGAUCAAAAGGACAGAGCAGAAAAUGGUGUACUCCCCCAAGCGGGUCACGCACACUGAGGGCAAAGAGGGCCGAGCUGUUGAAGAGUCUGAAAUCUUGAUUGUAAAAACCUCCCAGAAAACCAAGGAGCCCUCGCUGUUCUGGGCACUGUGCCUAACCUUUGGGCCCUACUUCCUCAUCUCCUGCCUCUAUAAGAUCAUCCAGGACGUCCUCAUGUUCGUUGGGCCUGAGAUCCUCCGGCUGCUGAUCUGCUUCGUCAAUGACUCCAGCGCCCCAUCCUGGCAGGGCUACUUCUACACCGCUCUGCUCUUCAUAUGUACCUGUGUGCAGUCGCUCAUCCUCCAGAAGUACUUUCAUGUUUGCUUUGUCUCAGGCAUGCGUCUGCGCACUGCCAUCAUCGGAGCUGUCUACAGGAAGGCCUUGGUUAUAAGCAGCGCAGCGCGCCGCACCUCCACGGUGGGAGAGAUCGUCAACCUGAUGUCAGUGGACGCCCAGCGCUUCAUGGACCUCAUCACCUACAUCAACAUGAUCUGGUCGGCCCCUCUGCAGGUGGCGCUGGCCCUCUACUUUCUCUGGCAGAACCUGGGUCCGUCUGUGCUGGCUGGAGUGGCUGUGAUGGUUCUGAUGGUUCCUAUUAAUGCUGUCAUCGCCAUGAAAACCAAAACCUACCAGGUGGCUCAGAUGAAGAGUAAAGACAACCGCAUUAAGCUGAUGAAUGAGAUGCUGAACGGCAUCAAGGUGCUCAAGCUGUACGCCUGGGAGCUGGCCUUCAAGGACAAGGUGUCGGAAAUCCGCGAGAGUGAGCUGCGGGUCCUGAAGAAGGCCGCCUACCUCGGGGCAGUGUCCACCUUCACCUGGAUCUGUGCACCGUUCCUGGUUGCCCUGUCCACGUUCUCCGUGUUCGUGCUGAUUGACGAGCAUAACGUGCUGGAUGCCCAGAAGGCCUUUGUGUCGCUGGCGCUCUUCAACAUCCUGCGCUUUCCUCUCAACAUGCUGCCAAUGGUCAUCAGUAGCAUGGUGCAGGCCAGUGUUUCCUUGAAGCGGCUCAGAGUGUUUCUUUCCCACGAGGAGCUGCAGGAGGACAGUGUCGAGCACAAAGCAGUAGCAGGCUCUACACACAGUAUCUCCAUAGUGGAUGGAGUUUUCAGCUGGUCCAGAGCUGAACCCCCGGCACUCAGCAGGCUGAAUGUGUGCAUCCCAGAAGGCUCUCUGGUGGCUGUGGUGGGACACGUGGGCUCGGGGAAGUCCUCGCUGCUCUCCGCCCUGCUCGGAGAAAUGGAAAAACUGGAAGGAAGCGUGGCUGUCAAGGGUUCGGUGGCCUACGUUUCCCAGCAGGCCUGGAUCCAGAACUCCACCCUGAAAGACAACAUCCUGUUUGGUCAGGAGAGGAGGGAGGCCUGGUACCAGCGUGUGGUGGAGGCCUGUGCCCUGCAGCCGGACCUGGAGAUCCUUCCUGCCGGAGACGAGACGGAGAUCGGCGAGAAGGGAGUGAAUCUGUCUGGAGGUCAGAAGCAGAGGGUGAGCCUGGCCAGGGCGGUCUAUUGUGACCGUGCGGUCUACCUGCUGGAUGACCCGCUGUCUGCCGUCGAUGCUCAUGUAGGAAAACAUAUCUUUGAUCAAGUCAUCGGCCCUCAGGGCCUGCUGAAGGACAAGACUCGUGUGCUGGUGACCCAUGGGCUGAGCUACCUGCCCCAGGCCGACCUGAUCCUGGUCCUGGUGGAGGGCCAGAUCACGGAGAUGGGCUCCUACCAGCAUGUCGUGGCCACCCAGGGAGCCUUCGCCGAGUUUCUGCGGACAUACGCUGCCGUGGAGCAGACUGACAACAACAAACCUGUGCCAAAGAGUGGAACCAAAGGAAUAGAGAACGGCAGUGCAACUGCUCUUGCUGGCAGUCCGGGUGUCAGCAGUGUGUCCAAACUGCCCCAGACGGCUGAGGAGAACAAGGUGCUGAGCAAGAAAGCCAAGGACCCUGAGGUGGGCAAGCUGAUGGAGGCUGAUAAGGCCAGCACUGGACAGGUCAAGCUGUCUGUGUUCUGGGCGUAUCUGAAAGCCAUCGGAGUGCUUCUGUCCUGCAUCAGUCUGCUGCUGUUCAUCGGCCAUCACAUGGCCUCGCUGUUCUCCAACUACUGGCUGAGCCUGUGGACCGACGACCCCGUGGUCAACGGCACUCAGCCCGACAGAAUGAUGAGACUCGGGGUGUACGGGGCUCUCGGCCUGUCCCAGGGUGUGGCUGUCUUUGGCUACUCCCUGUCCACGUCCAUCGGGGGCAUCCUGGCGUCCCGCUGCCUCCACCAGUCCAUGCUGUAUGACGUCCUGCGCUCACCCAUGUCCUUUUUUGAGCGAACCCCCAGCGGCAACCUGGUCAACCGCUUCGCCAAGGAGAUGGAUACCAUUGACUCCGUGAUCCCCAGCAUUAUUAAGAUGUUCAUGGGCUCGAUGUUAAACGUGUUGGGUGCUUGUGUUAUCAUCCUGAUCGCCACACCGCUGUUAGCUAUCAUCAUUCCUGUGCUCGGCCUGCUUUACUUUUUUGUGCAGAGGUUUUAUGUGGCGUCAUCUCGCCAGCUGAAGCGCCUGGAGUCAGUCAGCCGUUCACCCAUCUACACCCACUUCAACGAAACGCUGCUGGGCACCUCCGUCAUUCGAGCCUUCGGUGAACAGGAGCGCUUCAUCCGAGAGAGUGACCAGCGGGUGGACCACAACCAGAAGGCCUACUACCCCAGCAUAGUAGCAAACAGGUGGCUGGCUGUCCGCCUGGAGUUUGUAGGAAACUGCAUUGUGUCAUUUGCUGCUUUGUUCGCCGUCAUAGCCAGAGAGAGCCUGAGUCCAGGCAUCAUGGGGCUGUCUAUCUCCUAUGCCCUUCAGCUGACUGCCUCUCUGACCUGGCUGGUGAGGAUGUCCUCUGAUGUGGAGACCAACAUAGUGGCUGUGGAGAGAGUCAAGGAGUACAGUGACACGGAGAAAGAGGCCGAGUGGAAGCACGAGCCCUCCAGCCUCCCCCCGGGGUGGCCCACGGACGGCUGCAUCGACAUCAGAGGCUUGGGCCUGCGCUACCGCCACGAUCUGGAUCUCGCCAUCCGCAACAUCACCAUCAACAUAAACAAAGGAGAGAAGGUGGGGAUUGUGGGGCGUACUGGAGCGGGGAAAUCCUCCCUGAUGCUGGGGCUGUUCCGGAUCAUUGAGGCAGCUGAGGGCCACAUCUUCAUUGAUGGGGUGGACAUUGCUCAGCUGGGCCUCCAUGAACUGCGUUCCAGAAUCACCAUCAUACCACAGGACCCAGUGCUGUUUUCAGGCUCUCUGAGGAUGAACCUGGAUCCUUUUGACAGCUACUCUGAUGAGGCAGUAUGGAGGGCUCUGGAGUAUUCCCAUCUCAAGAGCUUUGUGUCCGGCCUGCCAAACAAACUCAACCACGAGUGUAGUGAAGGAGGAGAGAACCUCAGUGUGGGUCAGCGCCAGCUGCUGUGCCUGGCCAGAGCUCUGCUGAGGAAGACCAAGAUCCUGGUUCUAGACGAGGCCACAGCAGCCGUGGACAUGGAGACAGACAACCUGAUCCAGUCCACCAUCCGCUCUCAGUUUGAGGACUGCACCGUCCUAACAAUAGCUCACCGCCUCAACACCAUCAUGGACUACACCAGGGUCCUGGUGUUGGACAAGGGAGAGAUGGCAGAGUUUGACUCACCCUCCAACCUCAUCGCUCAGAGAGGAGCCUUCUACAAGAUGGCCAAGGACGCUGGGCUGGUGUGAAGCAGGCGGGGGGGGGGCCUCCCUUUGUUCAGCUGCUCCUCUGAGCCCCCGCCAGCUCCUCUGCUCUCCGCUGUGGACGUCCCAGUUACAGACUGAGACGCAGAUACAACAGCUCUUUUUCUCAACUGCCGUCGGGCUUUGCGCUGCCCUGCGCCGGGUGCAAGCUAGGGCCCUCAGUGUUUCAGGCAGAGGAGCUGCAGCAAAGGGUAGUAUGAGAAACAUAGUAUGUUAUUUGGACAUCAAAGCAUGUAAACCUAUUAUAGCAGACCCCAAGAGUACAAAUAUGAUGCUGAAAAGGAGCAUAACAGGGGCUCUUUAAGAUGAAAGCAAUGCUCCCCCCUAAUUUUGUGAACAUCAAAGGAAUUUUAUCCCAACCUCGAUGUGUUUGGGGGCACCACAGAGGUCUGACAAGCGUGCCAAUUUCCGUGAGUUUUUGAGCGUCCCAAGCCCCUCAAAAAAGCGAUUGCGGAGCAGAAAAUGAUACUCAUUAGGUUCCUCACACUUUCAUGCUCGGGCCCCAAAUAUCCCCAGGCCUAUCUGUAAAGCAGGUGUCCUAGAGCACAGCGAAGUGGACUCCAAUCCAUUUGAAUUAGUAGGCAGUAUGGAACUGGGACACAGCUCAUGUUUUCACCUUUUAGCUAGCAAAGCUAGCUGAUACUAUAUAGGGCACCGCACUCGGUGUGUUCAGUGUAAUAUAAGAUCGUUAGAAGUGAUUCUUCUGAGGGGGGGGGGAGUGUCAUCAGCUGGAUGUGUUGGGAGCAACAGCAGCUGGUUGGUCAGAAACAUCAGUCAGGCUGAUGAUGUCACAGGCCCAGGCAGUGAUGGUCUCUAACAUUGAACAUCAACCCAUAUAUCAUUACAAAACCGCAAACGCACAAACUCUGGGAAUCUGUUGGAUAGAUUCCAUUUGACUGUUACUUUACAUGCAGCACUGACAUGCAGCAUAUUUAUUGUCUUUGUGUUCUUUGAGCAGCAGCUUUAAAUGGAUGUGUUCCUGCAAGCUGCUCUAAGUUAGGUUAGAGCUCUACACAUGUAAUAAAUGAGAUAUUUUGAUUAUACAAAACCACUAUUGUUCAGAGUUUUUUUUUUUUUUUUCAGGUGAACUCUAAUGAAGUCACAGUGUACACAAAAUGGACGUUAUAAUCUCUUUAGGUUCAUUUUGUCUUAUGUACACAUAGCUUUUAAAUUGUUUACAGCUGACAUGACCUGACAUUUGACGUGAAGCACUUUGACAUUGUUCUGUAAAAGGUGCUAUAUUAAAUAAAGAUUCUUCUUAGCAUUAUAAUUAGAAUUAUUACUAUUAUUAUUAUUACAUGCUUCAAACAAAUGGAUGAAUACCAACACUUA
This is an RNA transcript of Sander lucioperca (pikeperch), 6102 nucleotides long. It is a transcript of the gene named ATP-binding cassette, sub-family C (CFTR/MRP), member 1, with no coding region annotated. The transcript is spliced from 32 exons. The record is from RefSeq and is a predicted model, not a curated record. Lineage: Eukaryota; Metazoa; Chordata; Actinopteri; Perciformes; Percidae.